AUGCUCCUCCUCCGCCCCCCACGCCGCGCCGCUCCUCUCCUCCCCGCCGUCCACCGCGUCGCCAUGUCCUCCACCCCAGCCUCCCCCUCCGCGACGCCAUCCUCGUCACCGGCGGCAGAGUACCACUGCCGCACCAAGCACAGCCUGACGGCCGGCUACGCGCGCGGCCCGGGCCGCCUCGACUGGGCCAACCAGCCCAACCCCUUCCUCCGCUUCUCCCCUUCCCCCGCCACCCCUCUCCCCAACCCGCCAACCCCGGCGGCCGCCGUCCCCUACCCGGCCCUCUUCCACGCCCCGCCCCCGCCGCCGCGGCCGCUCUCGCUCGACUCCCUCUCCGACCUCCUCUUCCACUCGCUCGCCCUCUCAGCCUGGAAGUCCGCCGGCGGGUCCACCUGGUCCCUCCGCGUCAACCCCAGCAGCGGCAACCUCCACCCCACCGAGGCCCACGUCCUGUUCGAGGACCCGCGGGCGCCCGGCCGGCUCGUCCUCUCCCACUACGCGCCCCGCGACCACCUCCUCGAGGCCCGCGCCACCCUGCCCGCCGGGGACCGCUCGGCGCUCCUGCCGCCGCGGGCCACCGCCGUGCUCGCGCUCUCGUCCGUCUUCUGGCGGGAGGCCUGGAAGUACGGCGAGCGGGCGCUGCGGUACUGCAACCACGACGUGGGCCACGCGCUGGCCGCGGUCGCCUUGGCCGCGGCCACUCUCGGGUGGGAUGCGCGGUUGCUCGACGGCUUGUCCGAUCAGGACCUUGGGAGGCUAGUGGGGGUGGACAAAGGGUGCCCUGCCCCUGCUCCUCCGGACAAAAUCAAAAUGGUGAGUGGCAAGAAGGGACCGGCGCCAUGGGUGGAGAGGCAACACCCAGAUUGUGCUCUCCUGUUGUUCCCUGCGGGCUCAGAAGAGACGGAGGUGGACUAUGGGAGGAUGAGUGAUGCUCUGAGGGAAUUCGAUGAGUUGGAGUGGGUUGGCAAGGCGAAUGCGCUCAGCAAGGACCAUGUGGUGUGGGAUGUCAUUUACAAGACGGCAGAGGCAGUCAAGAAACACCAACCUAUGCCUGGGGAGCGCUUCUCGGUGAGCCCGUGGAACAUGAGCUCCAAAUUGUCUGAAGGGCUGUAUAAGGAUCUCACGGCACAGGAGGUGGUGCGGCGGCGGAGGAGUGCGGUUGACAUGGACGGGACGCACGUCAUGGGGAAGGAAGAAUUCUAUCAGAUACUGCUGCAUUGCUUGCCUUCAGGCGAGGUUAGCCCGGGGGAGCGACAGGGACCACAGAGCGCUCUACCAUUUCGCGUGUUGCCGUGGGAUGCAGAGGUGCACGCCGCACUGUUUGUGCACCGCGUCUCAGGGCUGCCCAAGGGGCUGUAUUUCUUGGUUAGGAACGAGGAGCAUUUCGAUACAUUGCGACAUGCUAUGAGACAGGACUUCGAGUGGGCUCGACCAGAUGGAUGCCCUGAUGGCCUCCCACUGUAUAGGCUUAUGAAAGGGGAUUGCCAGAGGUUGGCAAUGCAGAUAUCAUGUAUGCAGGAUAUUGCCUCACAUGGAUGUUUUAGCCUUGGGAUGAUUGCUCGAUUUGAACCUGUGCUGGAUGACAAAGGUGAAUGGAUGUAUCCUCGUUUAUUCUGGGAGACUGGUGUUCUUGGUCAAGUUCUCUACCUUGAGGCGCAUGCUGUAGGGAUAUCUGCCACGGGGAUUGGUUGCUACUUUGAUGAUGCUAUUCAUGAGGUUCUUGGUUUGAAAGACCUGGAGUUCCAAAGCUUGUACCAUUUUACGGUGGGUGCCCCUGUGGUUGACAGGCGGAUCAUGAGUCUCCCUGCGUACCCAGGGCCAGGGAUUGAUGCAUGA
Molecule: ribosomal RNA, 1836 nt
Filed under: Triticum aestivum (bread wheat)
Lineage: Eukaryota; Viridiplantae; Streptophyta; Magnoliopsida; Poales; Poaceae
Description: partial small subunit ribosomal RNA
Source: RNAcentral